CGUGUGCGCACGCGCUCCCAGUUUGUUCGCUCCUGGCGCUCCCAGGGCAGGAAAAUCGAAGACCCGAGCUGGCGCCUGCGCACUUCGUCUCCGCCGCUGCUGUGGUCUCGCGCCCCACUCCCCAGUUUUCCCCAGGCUCGAGCUCAGCAGCGGAGGUGGCGGUGCUGCCGGGAGCGGAUGCACCGAGUUAAAGGUGGGGGUUGGGGGUCCACAGCCUGCAGAGGGGCCAGCACACCUUUCCCAUCCUCGGGGCGCCCCCCAUCUUGCCCCCACGGCUAACGGUCGCGGGGCCGAAUGCGGCCCACCAGAAGGGCGCGGAAGGGGUGUAGGCGCGUGUCCAGGGACUAGCAGGGCUCAGCGAGGGAGGGGCGCGCCCACUAUCCCUGCUGGCCUACACCGACCCCGCCUACACCGCGGUGCAAGGACCCUAGGUGAGUAACAACCCCCUCUAGGGGAAGAAGGGA
Molecule: long non-coding RNA, 464 nt
Filed under: Marmota monax (woodchuck)
Lineage: Eukaryota; Metazoa; Chordata; Mammalia; Rodentia; Sciuridae
Source: RNAcentral